RNAcentral lists this ribosomal RNA (301 nucleotides) under uncultured bacterium. RNAcentral describes it as "partial 16S ribosomal RNA". It matches the Rfam family "Bacterial small subunit ribosomal RNA", at positions 509 to 807 of the family's 1533-position model. The record is from RNAcentral.
CAGCAGCCGCGGGAAUAUGAAGGGGGCUAGCGUUGUUCGGAAUUACUGGGCGCAAAGCGCACGUAGGCGGAUAUUUAAGUCAGGGGUGAAAUCCCAGAGCUCAACUCUGGAACUGCCUUUGAUACUGGGUAUCUUGAGUAUGGAAGAGGUGAGUGGAAUUCCGAGUGUAGAGGUGAAAUUCGUAGAUAUUCGGAGGAACACCAGUGGCGAAGGCGGCUCACUGGUCCAUUACUGACGCUGAGGUGCGAAAGCGUGGGGAGCAAACAGGAUUAGAUACCCCUGUAGUCCCUGUCUCUUAUAC